Non-coding RNA from Prunus mume (Japanese apricot), 257 nucleotides. The record is from RefSeq and is a predicted model, not a curated record. Lineage: Eukaryota; Viridiplantae; Streptophyta; Magnoliopsida; Rosales; Rosaceae.
GUCCGUUCUGUUGCAAAAUCAGAACGUAUGAGAGAAUGUUUACGGUCCUUGAGGCGCAACCACAAGGAUGACGAUGCUAGAGUGCGACAAGCCUUCCAGACCUUGCUGAUAUAUGUUGGAAAUGUUGCAAGGAAUCCUAAUGAAGAAAAAUUCAGGAAGAUCAGACUCAGUAAUCCGUUAUUCUUGGAUAGAGUUGGGAGUUUGAUUGGAGGAAUUGAGUUCCUUGAGCUCUGUGGGUUUGAGACAACUGAAGGGGG